This 737-nucleotide long non-coding RNA is filed under the name Medicago truncatula (barrel medic). RNAcentral's name for it is "lncRNA gene16373". Lineage: Eukaryota; Viridiplantae; Streptophyta; Magnoliopsida; Fabales; Fabaceae. The record is from RNAcentral.
UAUGCAAUCUCAAUAGUAUUCAACAUGAAUGAUGUUUUGUAUAUCAAUAUGUCUGUUAUGCAUUGAUUUGUAAUUUUGAAUCAUGUCGCUUGAUCACACUUAAUUACUUUUUAAUUUUGGAGGAUUAAGCAAAGGGUAUAGUUUUUAUUUUAUCAAUGACUAUACUCAAUUGUUAUAUGAAUGUGUUCUCCAUAUAUCAAAUAACAGAUGUUUAAUGCUUGCACUACUUUUUGUGUGGAUAGCAAGUUUGGCUUGUCUUUUACAUUUAUUACCACGAAUUGGAUUUAUAAAUACAUGAUUUAAUCACUCCAAAACUUUAACUAUGUUUAAGCACAAUCCUUUUUUCCAUUGGCGAAAUACUGUGGACGGGCUCUGAAAAUUGAAAAAUACAACAUGAAGAUAAUAUAAUUAUGCAAUAGAUUUGAAUCCAUGUCUUAAUUUGAAUGAGCGUUUUGAAACUAAACUGUAUGAGCAAAGCAAAAUGCUUUUCGUAUAUGUUGUCCGUAAACCUGAAGAUAAUGAGAUAAGCGUUAAGAAACUGAGGAAAUACUUAUGUUUAAAAGGACUGAAGUAUGACAUUGAUUUUUAAAUGACUUUUUCAAGGACUUUUUCCUGUCUGAUUAAGGUAAGUAGUUCAUGAAAGACACAAUUUAAAUGAAAGAUGUAUUACAAUGUAGUUCACCUGAUAGUAAUGAAUAUGUGAAACUUCCGAAAGUAAUAGGAACUCAGAUGUGGUA